RNAcentral lists this transfer RNA (93 nucleotides) under Actinocrinis puniceicyclus. Its description in RNAcentral is "tRNA-Ser". The stretch from base 32 to 93 matches the Rfam family "tRNA". From Rfam's summary of the family: Transfer RNA (tRNA) molecules are approximately 80 nucleotides in length. Lineage: Bacteria; Bacillati; Actinomycetota; Actinomycetes; Catenulisporales; Actinospicaceae. The record is from RNAcentral.
AGCUCCAGAAAAGGGAUUCUGAGCUGGGCUUAUCCCUGUGCCGACUGCUGCCCUCUCAAGGCAGUAGCGCGGGUUCGAAUCCCGUCGGGGCUA